GUUUUAAUAAUUUAAUUUUAAAAUAUUGGUCUUGUAAACCAAAAAUAAAGCAUUUUUUAAAACA
This 64-nucleotide transfer RNA is filed under the name Tenebrionoidea sp. 10 KM-2017. RNAcentral's name for it is "tRNA-Thr". It matches the Rfam family "tRNA". Rfam says of the family: Transfer RNA (tRNA) molecules are approximately 80 nucleotides in length. Their secondary structure includes four short double-helical elements and three loops (D, anti-codon, and T loops). The record is from RNAcentral. Lineage: Eukaryota; Metazoa; Arthropoda; Insecta; Coleoptera.